CUCGAGAAGAGUUAUCUUUUCUGUUUAACGGCCUGCCCACCCUGGAAACGGCUCAGUCGGAGGUAGGGUCCAGCAGCCGGAAGAGCACCGCACGUCGCGUGGUGUCCGGUGCGCCCCCAGCGGCCCUUGAAAAUCUGGAGGACCGAGUGUCAUCCGCGCCCGGUCGUACUCAUAAUCGCAUCAGGUCUCCAAGGUGAACAGCCUCUGGUCAAUGGAACAAUAUAGGCAAGGGAAGUCGGCAAAAUGGAUC
Gossypium arboreum is the source of this 250-nucleotide ribosomal RNA. It matches the Rfam family "Eukaryotic large subunit ribosomal RNA", at positions 1679 to 1928 of the family's 3401-position model. NCBI's taxonomy places the organism in Eukaryota, Viridiplantae, Streptophyta, Magnoliopsida, Malvales, Malvaceae. The record is from Rfam.